UUGACUUGAGUUUUACCAAAAACCAGAGCACAAAAGCAAAGACAGGACAGAGAAGAGAGAUACAUGUCAACGAACAUCAACACCACUACUUCUCCAUCGCUCUUCAACUCCCCUAAUCAUAUCCUUAAUUUAUUACAUAUACAUAUAUAUAUUUAAGUUACUAUAUAUAUAAAUAAUACAAUUAAAUUAGAUAUAGUUGGUGAAUUUCUUAGUACAUAAUCUUCUGGUGAAGGGGAGGCUUUUUUUGUUGUUGUCUUUGGGUGGUCUAUUAGUCGUUGAGCUUUCAUUAUCUCAUUCAGAUCAAUUGGGUAGUUUCUAAUUUUUUACUCUAAUUCAAGCUAACCUAAUUGGCUUCAAUCUUCCUUUCCUUUCCAUGUAUCUUAAACCUUAGUUUUCUACUCUAAUGGGUUUCUUCCUAUUGUCUUUGAUUAUUCGUUUUCGAUUGCAACAACUAAGCUCCGAGGUCAAACUGUCCUGGGUUUGAAUUUUUUUUUUGGGGGGAUGGGAUGCCCGGAUUCUGAUAUGGUGGCCAAGAGAAAUUUGGGUUUUGGGUGCUUUUCCAAGAGGAGAUUAGGUUUAUUGAAUUGGGUCGUCUUUGGAUUUUGGCUUGCGUUACUGCUUUUGCAGCCGGUGGCUAGUGUCAGACCCUUGCGAGAGAGAGCUCGUUCUUGGGGCGAUGAGUGGUUAUUCAGAGGAAAAGAUGAAAGUGACUUGGGUCCAUUUUCUGCAUGGAAUAUAACUGGAACUUAUAGAGGGACUUGGAAGUUUCUAGAUUCUGCAAAUAGCUCUUCCAAAUUUCCUGAUUUCAGGAAAUCCUCCGGAAAUUCUGUAAUUGAGUUAGUUAGUGCACCAACAAAAAUAAUGGGGGUACACUAUGUGCAGGGAAUAAUCAUUUUUCAAGAUGUGUUUGAAAAUGAAAACAGCGUUAAUGGUGUUCAAAUCAGAGUGGAAGGCGUAUAUAUAUGGCCAUUUAGACAACUUCGAAUAGUAGCUAACAGUCCAAAAGAUGGAGAGUCGAACCAAGAAGAGGACUACAUGUUAUCUAAUCCAUAUCAUUUGCUUGGAGUUUUCUCAUCUCAGGUGUUCCAAGAUUCUCCACGGGAUAAAAUGUGGAGGAAGAACCAUUCACCAAUUUAUGAAAUGGAGAAACAUUGCAACAUCGAAAUUGCAGCCCAGAUUUCACGAGUCCCAUCUGCCCAAAAUGAUGGAGAUCGUGAUCGGUAUCAUAUAGAAGGACUAAUGGAGAGUCCUGCAGUGGAUGAUGAUGGGGACUGCUUCUCACCCUUAUUGUUGAAUGCAACUUCUGUCAACAUUGAGGUCUAUUAUAAUAAAGCAGUGAAUUAUACCUUGAUGGUCACAUUUGUUUCUUUCCUUCAAGUUCUGCUGUUGAUUCGGCAAAUGGAACAUAGCAACACUCAAUCUGGAGCUGCCAAAGUUUCAAUUCUAAUGAUUGGUCAACAGGCCAUCAUGGAUGCUUAUCUUUGCUUGAUACAUCUGACAGCAGGAAUACUAGUUGCAUUCGAUUGGAGAAAUUUGUCUAAGAAUGCCAAUGGAGGCCUUGGCCCUGAAUCAGAAGAGUCCUUAUUCAAUGCCUUUGCAACGGCUGCUUUUUUCAAGUUUGUAGUCUUCUCAAUUUUUGAGAUGAGAUAUCUCCUAGCUAUAUGGAAGGCAAAUAGGCCCAUGAAUAAUGGAGAAGGUUGGGAAACAAUGAGGCGUGAACUUUCGGUUCUAUAUAGCCGAUUUUAUGGGAUUCUUUUAGGAGGCAUUCUAAUUAUGUAUGAGUUUCAUAAUUUUCUGAGACCUAUUCUUCUCCUUAUGUACUGUUUUUGGAUACCUCAAAUUGUCACCAAUGUCAUUCGCGAUUCGAGAAAACCUCUACAUCCACAUUAUGUCAUAGGCGUGACUGUUACUCGGCUUGCAAUUCCAUUAUAUAUAUUUGGCUGCCCGAACAAUUUCAUGCGCAUUGAACCUGACCAGAGUUGGUGUAUUUGUUUGGUUGUAUUUAUUGGACUUCAAUCAGCAGUUCUUCUUCUUCAGCACUAUCUUGGGUCUCGGUGGUUCAUUCCUCGUCAGAUUCUACCUGAGAAAUACAGCUACUAUAGAAGGUUCGAUCAAAAUACAAGUAAUGCUACUGACUGUGUCAUUUGCAUGACUGCCAUCGAUAUCACACAACGGUCAAAUGAUUGCAUGGUAACACCUUGUGAUCAUUUCUUCCAUUCCGGUUGUUUACAAAGGUGGAUGGAUGUAAAGAUGGAAUGCCCAACUUGUCGGCGUCCACUACCGCCGGCCUGAUCCUGGUUCCUUCUUCUAUGUCCAUAUUGUAGGAUCAACUGACAUACCGAACUCACUAAUUUUGGUUGGCUAUAGAUUUCAUACUCGGUUGAGAAAAUCUCCGGAUAGAGUGAUAUACAACUCCCUAUAUCAACUUCCAAUUGGUCAAAGUGAUAUUAUUGCUGCUCCAGUCUAUUUUUAUUUUUGUAGUUUGUAUGUAUUAUGUAAUUUUAGCUUAAAGGGAAACAUUCUCUUUUUCCUUCAUUUGAUACUGAAUUUUAUUACUUUUAGGUUAAUAGAUAUGAGUAAAAUUUUAUGAGAUGAAAAGGAGAAAAGAAAAAGAAAAUCAUAGCGGAAAUGGCACUUGGUAUUGAUCAA
Molecule: RNA transcript, 2649 nt
Organism: Humulus lupulus (European hop)
Lineage: Eukaryota; Viridiplantae; Streptophyta; Magnoliopsida; Rosales; Cannabaceae
Gene name: transmembrane E3 ubiquitin-protein ligase FLY2-like
Exons: 16
Source: RefSeq, a predicted model, not a curated record